UACUCUGUUCCUAGGCCCUACUGUUAAAAACUACACAGUUCCCUGCUUGCUUCUCAAUUUACAAUGCAGAGAGCCCGUUUUCCAAAUCCAUUUUGUAGCACAUCUUCAGAUAAAGCUAAAACUGAAGCAGUCUCCCAUGUAAAAUGCAUCACUGAUUCCAAAAAACAAAUUUGACCUCCACAUCAACUAUGCCACUGUAUACUUGGCCUCCUACUCCAAGCUAAACACUUCCUAACACUGGUGGUAUUACAGCAGUCAUCUCCUACUUACCUCCUGGCUCCAUCUAUGCACCCCCUAUUCUAACCAACCUCUACUCUGUUCAGCUAUAAAAAGUAAAACUAUCACAAUAAGGUUGUAAGAUUUGUUACACACGCGCACACACACACCAUAUAAGACUCAUUACUGUAGCACCUUAUUCCACCUACAGUGGCUAAAUCUCCCCAACAGCCUUCACUAUACAUGACUGCAAACAACAUAACAAGAUACCAUAGCCAUCCAUAAUCCUUUUUUCCAUUUUUGCACAUGCAACCCUGGUGUCCCUUCAGUUGCCAUAUUUCCAUCACAAAUGCCCACCCUUAGCAAACCUCCUCCACUUGUAUCCCACAUUUACACAACUAACAUCUCAAGAUUAACUCCUAAGUCAAACACUAAGGUCCAACAGCUCUCAUGAUGGUGCUGUUUAACUCCAUCGACAUCUCCAGACUCUGGAAUAGAUUAUGUUGUAUAGUAAAAGAACAUAAAACAUUAAACUUCUUUAAGCUAGCCCUCACGUCCUGUCUCCUUAAUGUGUGUCUGUUAUGCUCACCUCAUAGAUUGCUUGCUUGGCACAUUGAUUUCUAUCAGCCAAUCAUCUGAACCAACCACUCACUAUCUAACAUCUAGACUACUAAAAGUCUCUCCACAUUCAUAUUUGUAACCCAAUAAAUAUAGCCAUUUCUAACAGUAAAGUGCAGUCAGCAUACACACUAAUAGGAAAUUGCAAAAUGAAGUAAAUAAAUAAAAGCGUGUAAAUAA
Long non-coding RNA from Protopterus annectens (West African lungfish), 1014 nucleotides. RefSeq lists it as uncharacterized. The record is from RefSeq and is a predicted model, not a curated record. NCBI's taxonomy places the organism in Eukaryota, Metazoa, Chordata, Ceratodontiformes, Protopteridae. The transcript has 2 exons.